This 727-nucleotide long non-coding RNA is filed under the name Triticum aestivum (bread wheat). RNAcentral describes it as "long non-coding RNA (TAES_LNC022679)". The record is from RNAcentral. Lineage: Eukaryota; Viridiplantae; Streptophyta; Magnoliopsida; Poales; Poaceae.
AAUGAAAAAUCAAAGCUCAGUAUGUUGACCUCUUCACUCGGUCCGCCAACACUUUAUGGCAUUUCAUUUUCCAUUUAGAAGCAUCAACAUGAUAGCCGGGGUAUAACUGAGAUAUCAAGGACGACAUCCCAUUAAGCAACAACAUAUAUUUUGCCCAGUGCUUCUUCUCCAAUGUUGUCUCAAGCUGCCAUGAGUUUAAUGGAUCAAACACAUGGACCACAUGAGUAAACAUAUUGAAGACAUACAGAAUGUAAUACCCCUCUACAGAUCUGUCUGGAACCAUUAUAUGCACACAACAAUUAACUUCAUAAGAUGAUUUAAUUGGUAAACAAUAUACAUUAUGUGAUCUACUUGCUAAGCCCCUUACCAUAUUGCAAGUCCUCAAAUCAAAUUUUCCGUUCAAACCAACCAAACUUGCUUUUAUUUCAUCAUUAAUCUGUACGGCUGCACCAUUAAGCACUCUCUCCUGGAAACAUAUUACCACUACCAAAUUAGAAAUCUUAACUACGCGCAAAUUGUUUUCUUAUAUACUUAUUUUCCUACAAUGAACUAACCGCCCAGCUUAGAUGAAGAACCUUCCUCAGCCUCAAAAUUGACCUAGGAGCAUAUAACUUCUUAUCCUGACAAUACACAAGCCUACGGAAAAUAUCAAAUUGUCUUGCACCAACUUCUCCUCCAGGUUUCAUCAUUGCAUAUAUCUCAGUUCCAGUAAUUUGCAGCACAACAG